Molecule: long non-coding RNA, 194 nt
Filed under: Danio rerio (zebrafish)
Lineage: Eukaryota; Metazoa; Chordata; Actinopteri; Cypriniformes; Danionidae
Description: lncRNA si:dkey-51d8.8 (ENSDARG00000096074.3)
Source: RNAcentral
AGACUUUCCUUAUUUCUUUUUGUUAAUGACUCUCAUAUAAAGAAACAGCUGAAGCAAGUUGUCUAAACACAGAGAGAAACUCCUGCUGAAGCGACUGAUCUCCACACUGUUAUAAAGAUGGCGUUAAUUAAAGAGGAGAGUGAAGAUGUGAAGAUUGAAGAAACAAUUACAGUCAAACAGGAAGAUCUGCAGGA